AGGGGGGAGGCGUGGGUAGGGUGGAAAGAAAUCUCAAUAUUGUUUAAAAAGGCUAGAGUUUGUCUUUUAAAGUUUUGAGAGAAAUCAAAUUUGGGUUUUAUCCAAAAUCCUCCAACCUACUGACAGGUGUCAAGUCUGUACAAUAAUAAAUGCCUACUCAAACAAAAUAUGAUUUCUGUAGAUAGUGAUAAGCAGGGUCAUAUCCACAGGGAAUGGGGAUAUUUGUCUCUUUGAAGUUUCAAUUGACAAUGAGGGGUUUUAUCGGAAUAAAGCUAAAAACAAUUAAGCAAUUCAACAAAAAACAAACAAUUAACUAGUAUGAAUGUAGACAGGAAUUAAAUCAAUAAUAGACAAAUUCUAGCCAAGGAUACAACUUCUCAGACGCAGUCCAUUCAUCCGAUCAUUGAUGCAAGGGAGGUUCACUUAAUUUAUUAAUAGGUUAGUUAUAAUCGUCAACAAGCUCCGACGACCAUGUUUUCCUUAGUUUAUUGAUAACCAAGGUACGAUCAUUAAUUACCCAUAACCAGAAAACACUCCUAGGUACAACCGUAAGAGUUAACCCCCUAGUUGCAUUAAGAA
Molecule: long non-coding RNA, 579 nt
Filed under: Coffea arabica (coffee)
Lineage: Eukaryota; Viridiplantae; Streptophyta; Magnoliopsida; Gentianales; Rubiaceae
Description: long non-coding RNA (CARA_LNC005007)
Source: RNAcentral